RNAcentral lists this non-coding RNA (43 nucleotides) under Trypanosoma brucei brucei. The record is from RNAcentral. Lineage: Eukaryota; Euglenozoa; Kinetoplastea; Trypanosomatida; Trypanosomatidae.
AACGGAGACAGAUAGCUUGAAUCUAAGGUUGUAUGUGAUAUUA